AUGGAGCUCCGCGGCCCUGCCGCGCAUGCUUGCGAGGAACCCGCGAGUGCGCUCCUAGAGACUGGCUCUCCAGCGGGGCGGCGCGCGCUCCCUACGGCCAGCGGGGCGGAGCGCGCGACACGGGGCUCGCUCCCGAGAGGGCAGGUGGGGGCGGGGGUGGACACCCGGGUUGCGGUGGCCGGAGGGGCCUGGGCCGCGAGGUCGACGCCUGUGGCUGCAGCGGCCCGAGGCCAGAGGACCCGCCGCGCGGCUCGGUCUCCGGAGAGGGAGGGCCCCGCUGUUGUCACCGCCCGGCCGGUGCCCGGUGAAAUUAGUCCAGAGAAGUGAUGGGAUUUGCCCCUGGUCUCCCACCCAGCAAGCCAGCGCUGACGAUAGCUGUUGGCAGACCGUGAAGGUGGUUCUCACUUGUCUAUGAAGGUAAUUCUCUUGCUCCUCCAUCAGCAGCUGAGCAGGGAUCUUAGAGCUUGGACCCACUGGUGUUUGAAAAGAGUUUGCAUGUAAUAUUAUGUGUCUCUUGGGUGUUGGGUUUACCAGAGCAGGCAAGCUGAGUAUUGCACUCAAAUUUGCUCUGUACUCCAUUUGGCUUCGGAGGAAAAGAGCAUCAGAGAGCGAUUAACCGUGAACUGUGAGGUUCUCGCACUUACCAUUCACAUCUGCCUGACUUAAAAAUACUCCAGUCACUCUUUACUGAGUGAAAAUAAAAUAUUAUAAAACAAACACAUUAGGGCCCAAGUAUUUACCUCCAAACAGUGGUCAUCCAAAAAAAGAAAACAAUUUAAAUCCACCUAGAACAAAUAUACAAAUGUAAUGCAAAUAGAAGUUUCAUAAAAUAAUGCUUACUUUUAUUACAUGCGAUGCAGGUUAGUUAUUUCCUAUGUGAUUUUUAAAAUUGCUGAUUGGGGACUUCUCUGGUGGUCCAUUGGCUAAGAUGUGCACUUCCAGUGCAGGGGGCCCAGGUUCGAUCUCUGGUCAGGGAACUAGACCCCACGUACUGCAGCUAAAGAUCCCGCAUGCCGCAAUGAAGACUGAAGAUCCCGAGGGCCACAACUAAAUCCUGGCACAGCCAAACAAAAUUGUAACAUAAAUUUAAAAAAACAAGUACAUAAAAUUGCAGACUAGAGCCCCCAGAUUAUAAUACCAAUGACCAGGGAGAUUUGAAAAGCAGAGGCUUAAGACCAAAACAGAGGAAAUAAAACUCUUUCAUGCAGAUAUAAAAUGAAUGCAUAUUCAAGCUUUUGCUUAACCCAUUAAUCCAGGAACCCGUAAGAUCUUAUAACCAGUUUGCAAGGGAAUCCAAAGAAGAUUCUAGAAGACUGUAGGUCAGGAGUAUUGACAUGAAUGCGUACAUAGAGGCAAACCUGGAGAAACUGCUUACUUAUCUGUAUUAAUUUACAUGGUGAGAAAGCAAGAAUGGGUCUACAGGCUAGAACUAUUUUGCCUUGUUCUGCUACCUGUGCAGAGUUAUAAAAGCAACUCAAAGGCAACAAGAGGCUAGAAUGGUGUAACCUGAAAGGCUGUGCUCCAGACAAAGCCCAAUUUUCCACUGAUGCACAACUUUCCCCUACAGCCUCAUAAUUUCAAUGAAAGAUCUUUUUGCAUGAAAUGAGGGUGGUCCUGUCAGAUGGGGUGGGAGGUCUGAUCAUUUACACAGGUGUGGCACGCUUGCUAAUUCACCUUGUAGGCUUUCUUGAGUUUGCUUUGCUGGAAGUCUCUGUAAGGAACCUCAGUUUGGACUUUUAAAAGUCUGGUAUAUGUUAUCUCAAGGUACUGAAGCCAUCCCCAACAAGCUUUCUCCCCCAGAUUUCAUCUGUACUACUUAAAAAUUUGGGCAAAUUCCACUCUUCUCGAGGUCCCCAAAAUACCUUAAGGUGUCUGAGACCUGUUAGAUUGUUAUUAAAGGAUCAUUUUAACAAGAUGCAAUCAUGACUCUCCCAUCGAUGUAAAAAUAAACAAACAUUAACGAUUCUGUUUAACACACCAAUGAAGGAACCUGUAUGUUGUGACAGAUGAAAUAACGUGUGAGAAACACUUCACGUGAUGCCCUGCGCAAAUGAAAUGUCAAAUCCUUCUCAGGGUGGCCAUGGAUCUUCCGGGCACCGAACCUCAAGGGCAUCUAGUCCAGUGUUGCACAAAGCCGAGUCCGUGAUCCACCAGGACCAGAGUCUCAAGGGGUACUUGUUAAAAAUCCAGAUUCUUGAAUUUGACUGUAGACUCACCCUCAUAAUUUUGGGUGGGAAAUCUAGGCAUCUGAAUUUUUUUUUUAAGCAGUGAAAGGUUUAUUGCAGGGCCAAGCAAGGAGAAUGGGUGGCUCAUGGUCAGAAACCAUCCUCAACCUCUCGACGACUUUCAGGGGAGAGUUUCUAUAGGCAAAAUUUGGUGUGGAGGCUGCAGGGUGCGUGACUUUCUUCUAAUUGGCUGGUGGGGAAGUAAACAGGCAGAGCUCCAGGAAUUUCCAGCCCCAAGCAUCUGCAUUUUUAUCAAGUGCUCCAAUAAAAAGUAAAUUUAAAAAUAAAAGUAUCAAACACCCCAAGUAAUUCUUACGGAGACCAGAAUUACAUACACAAAUAAUUGAAAUAAAAGGUUCGUGAAAACUGAACUUAACCUCACUAUAUGGGUGCACCCUUUCUGUGCUGUUUUUUUAAACAGUGCUCUUCAGCAGGCUUUCUCAGCCUCAACCUUGCUGCUGUUUUAGACCAGAUCCUUCCUCCUGGGGGUGGUGGGGGCUCCCCGAGAUCUGAGCCGCAUCCUCGGCCCCCACCCACAGAGGCCAGGAGCCUGUCCUGCACCCUAUUUGUGACAGCUAGAAAUGUCUCCUGACCUUGCCACGUGUCACCUGGGGGGCAGACCACCCUGACUGAGAACCACCGGCCUUAACCCUACUCCGUUGUCGAUACCUGUUGAUACCUAUGGGUUAGAAUCCUCAACUUUAAAAGAACCAUUUUAAACUUAUUUUAGGAGUAUAAGCCCUGAAACAGACACAGGAGGUUCGCACACUGGCUGUCCUUUAGUGGCACAGCUCCCCGGGUCACAGAAACCUAAAAUUGAGCCUCAGUCCUCCUCUGUGAGUGAAAGAAAGUGAAAGUGAAAGUCGCUCAGUCAUGUCUGACUCUGUGACCCCCAUGGACCCCACCAGGCUCCUCUGUCCAUGGGAUUCUCCAGGCGAGAAUCCUGGAGUGGGUAGCUGUUCCCUUCUCCAGGGGAUCACUCCCAACCCAGGUCUACCACACUGCAGGCAGAUUCUUUCCUGCCUGAGCCACCAGUGAAUGAAAGAACAGCAGGCCUAAUGGAGGCAGCUAUUUGGGAGAUAAAAUGCAACAACCUAUGCAGAGCCCUCGCCUAGCCCCAGGCACCUCAAUUGGCAUUUGGCAACUAUGAGGCAUUGUAACCACAGUCCUUCAGAUUCCUGAAGCACGUGUGGUCGGAACCCACCUGGGAAAACAGAAAUUACUGUAAGGUUUCAUUGGGAGUUGCAUCGCCUCCUUGCUGGUGAAAGCUGAGAAGCUAAACUGGAAAUGGCUUAGCACUGGCGCAGCAGCUGGGGGUCGGGGCACUGAGCAGACAGCGGCGCUGGGGCAGCCACGCCAGGCAGGUCGCUUCUCCCUGAAGCUCCUUGCUCCCCAUGCCACCCUCAGUCCCCCACGGUGGCUCCUGGUGGCCAGAUCAGCUGGAAGCCACAUUGUGUUAGAUGCUCAGUCGUGUCUGACUCUCUGUGACCCCAUGGACUGUAGCCAGGCAAAAAUAUUGGAGUGGGUUGCCAUUCCCUUCUCCAAGCCACAGUACUAAACCAUAAAACAGCUGGUAUGUAGGGCCAAUCAGUGCAGCUCUGAAGGCCUGGCUGUCACUACCCAUGUAGUCACUACCCACGUGGUCCUGAGCCACUUGCUUCAGGCCCGAGCCUCAGUUUCCCCAGAAGCAGAGGGGGCAAUGGUGCAGAGAGAUCGAUGGGUCCCUGCACUUGGGGUACCCAUGAUGUCAUAGGAUGUUUGUUCUUGGCUCAGGUCCCAGCUCGAGGACCAGCCUCAUGGCUCUGGGUUGGAGUGUCCCCUUGGUAUCCCUUCCUCUCCUCCACCCCACUCGCUUCUCUCUUCCUGCUUCCACCCAGAAGGCCUAUGGCUCACUUAUUUUCUCUGUCAACUUCCACUGUGUCUAUAGGUUUGAAACUUGGGUUUUCAAAAUCCUUUUGAGUUAAUAUUAGACUCUUAAAAAACAACUGCAAAAAAGAUAGAAAGAAAGAAAGAAUUCCCCUGUGCUCAUCACCCAGUCUCCCUGAAUGUCAAGAUCUUACCAAACGUGCGGUGAUCAAGUCCGGGAAAUCCACACUGGUCCUGUACCAUUAACCUGAACUCUUGGCCUUAUGCACAUUUCACCAGCUUGGCCCCUAAUGUCCUUUGCCUGUUCCCAAAUCCCAUUUUGCAUCUUGUCCUUGUGUCUCCUUCGUCUCCUCCAGUGCCAGGUCCUCAGUCUUUCUUUCUCCGUGAUGACCUUGACACUGUGACGCGUCCUGGUCAGUCGUUUAGAAUGUCCCUCCAAGCGACUUGUCUGGGGGUGCACAUUCGGGGCAGGAACAUCCCCAGAGAUGAUGCUGUGCCCUCCUCAGUGCGUCUCGUCAAGGAGGUCGUGGUGCUGGUGUGUCUUGUUCCCGGUGAAGCUGGCCUGGAGCCCUUAAAGGCUGUGUCUGCGAUUUCUCCACUGUCAAGUCAUUCUCUCUCCCUUUGUGGUUAAUACAUGUCUUGGGGAAGUCUUUGAGGCUCUGCAAGGCCCACAGCGGAGACCACAGGAUUCUUGAUUUUUCACUUGUUUCUCUGCCCCAUGAUCUGUAUUCCUCUUUAUCUUCUUUUAUGACACAUCUUGCAGUGGAAU
Molecule: long non-coding RNA, 4860 nt
Organism: Bos grunniens (domestic yak)
Lineage: Eukaryota; Metazoa; Chordata; Mammalia; Artiodactyla; Bovidae
Source: Ensembl